RNAcentral lists this ribosomal RNA (766 nucleotides) under uncultured Halobacteria archaeon. Its description in RNAcentral is "bacterial SSU rRNA". It matches the Rfam family "Archaeal small subunit ribosomal RNA", at positions 517 to 1280 of the family's 1478-position model. The record is from RNAcentral. Lineage: Archaea; Methanobacteriati; Methanobacteriota; Halobacteria.
GUCCGUAGCUUGCUGUGUAAGUCCAUUGGGAAAUCGACCAGCUCAACUGGUCGGCGUCCGGUGGAAACUACACAGCUUGGGGCCGAGAGACUCAACGGGUACGUCCGGGGUAGGAGUGAAAUCCCGUAAUCCCGAACGGACCACCGAUGGCGAAAGCACCUCGAGAAGACGGCUCCGACAGUGAGGGACGAAAGCUAGGGUCUCGAACCGGAUUAGAUACCCGGGUAGUCCUAGCCGUAAACGAUGUUCGCUAGGUGUGGCACUCGCUACGAGCGAGUGCUGUGCCGUAGGGAAGCCGAGAAGCGAACCGCCUGGGAAGUACGUCUGCAAGGAUGAAACUUAAAGGAAUUGGCGGGGGAGCACUACAACCGGAGGAGCCUGCGGUUUAAUUGGACUCAACGCCGGACAUCUCACCAGCCCCGACUACGGUAAUGACGGUCAGGUUGAUGACCUCACCACGAGCCGUAGAGAGGAGGUGCAUGGCCGCCGUCAGCUCGUACCGUGAGGCGUCCUGUUAAGUCAGGCAACGAGCGAGACCCGCACUCCUAAUUGCCAGCAGCAGUCUCGACUGGCUGGGUACAUUAGGAGGACUGCCAGUGCCAAACUGGAGGAAGGAACGGGCAACGGUAGGUCAGUAUGCCCCGAAUGGGCUGGGCUACACGCGGGCUACAAUGGCCGGGACAAUGGGUCGCCACCUCGAAAGAGGGCGCUAAUCUCAGAAACCCGGUCGUAGUUCGGACUGAGGGCUGAAACUCGCCCUCACGAA